Molecule: long non-coding RNA, 1147 nt
Organism: Passer domesticus (house sparrow)
Lineage: Eukaryota; Metazoa; Chordata; Aves; Passeriformes; Passeridae
Exons: 2
Source: RefSeq, a predicted model, not a curated record
UGCCUUGACUCAAUGUGUUUUUUAAGAGUUUGGCAUUUCUGACUUGCUGCAGUCACUGCCAAGGCUUGUGGCAUAGCAGGACACUCAGCAAAUGCUGGUCCCAGCCUCCCCCAUGCCUGUUUGCAAGGACUGUGCUCACCCACACAGAGGAUGUUGAAGCUGAAGCCUUGUGUGACAGACUUGCUGACCAGCUGAUCCGGGAGGCUGUCGAAGCCCACAUGGCCCCCCAGGGAAAGGUUCCUCUUCUCUUCAUUCUGCCAGGGAGAAGAAGCCAGAUUAGCAAACUGCACUGAGAUGGCAAAUGAGGCUGAUGAGAGCAAGAUCACCCACCCUCCUGGGCACUGCAAAGCCCAGCGGUGCCCUCAAGCGCUUGUGCUUGGCACACCACAGCACAAACCCCCCAACAGCCACCAACAACAGGAAAGAGGGUGUGAAAUACUGAUCUUCUGGCGGGCUGGGAGAACCAGGCUACCAGGCUCCAAAGUAAAGAAAACACUAGUGUGAGCUUCAACUACUGCAGCUGGGAGAGAUUAGUGAAGGAAAACCUACCACGGUGCGUUUUAGCACUCAUUUCUCUUCGACUUUUUUUUUGUACUUUAUUGUCUCAAACCCUCCAGCAGUGAAUUCAGCUUGACAGACUGUGCAUUUUCCCUGAGCACUUGUCUUUGCCCCUUUGCUGUGGCCACAAGCAGCGAGGUUUGCUCGCUCAGGCACUGGGUGUGCCAGUGGCUCGGGCAGGGCAGGGAACCCUCCUGCUUCACCAUCUGUGACCACACAGUUUCCACUGUUCCUCUGCUGUUCCUGUUCCUGCCUCCCCCGUGUGCACUUUGCUCUCCCUUCUGUUCCCUCCCUCCCCCACGGAAGCGGAUCACCUGUAGAGGUUUUGCUCAGGAACUAAGACAACAAAAUCCGAGAGACAGCAGCUCUACGACCUGUGCUGUACAGAAAGCACAUACAGAAGAUGGGAAUGGAAAAAAAAUGUCUGCCCUUGGUUUGGCUCUGGUUCUUCUGUCUGUUCCUGACAACUGGAAUUUAAUGUCCCACCACUAAGACUGAGAGACAAGGGCAUCCCCGAGAAGAGCCUAAGCUGCCUGUCAAACUUAAAUGAAGUCAAGAGGAAAAUAAAUGAUGUGAUAAGCCUUGUGUA